UUAUGUGUCAAAAAUGCCAAAACUAGUUUCGUUGCUAAAGACGAAAGCAUUCGUUGCUAUAGGUUUCUCUUACUCUAUUCUUCUCUCACAGCCCCUUCGUCCCUCACCUUGUCGCAUUGAGCUUCACCCAUCUCGCCGUUGCCAUCUCCGAUCGGAAAGCUCUCUCUCUCUCUCUCUCUCUCUCUCUCUCUCUCUCUCUCUCUCUCUCUCUCUCUCUCUCUCUCUCUCUCUCUCGUCACCUUUUACCGCCUCAGCUCCCUCGUCUCUCUAAUUUCACAGUGAGUCCAUUGCAAGGCAUCUUUUGGGAGAAGCACGUCCCCGUGUUUUUAAAUCAUAGUCCAUAAAUUAAUCAUCUUCAUCAUCAUUAUUGCCAUGUUGUGCUUGUCAACUUGCACUAGAAUGAGUCAGCAAACUCCAUCAGAGUUGAUUAUGCAGCCUCAUUGUCUUUUUCUCCGAAGUUGAAAUGCUUUGCUUGCAACUGAGUUUUGCACUGCAUCAAUUCUAAAUUUACACUCAAGUUCCUAGUUUCGGAUGAAGCAAAUAGAGUUCUGGAUGUUGGGUUUGAAGAGUUCUGCAACAAUGACAAGUGAAUUGGAAGGACUGCUUAAACCUUCUGCAAAUAAGGCAUACUUCUACAAGGCAUAUGAUGGCUUUAAGACGGUUGCCACUCUAAAACAGCAGUAUGUUUUUAUUCCCAAUAAUGUGAAGGAUGUUUAUGUAAAUGCACAUUUUGUCUAAAAUGAAAGAUAUGGGUGUUCGAUCCACCAUCAUAUUUGUCUCCACCUGCAGGUAUUAUUUCCUGGAACAAUAAUGUCUAAAUUUUGAAACUGUUUUCUGAUGUUUGUGUUGUAGUUUAUUUAUUGUCUUUCAGCUGUAGCAUUUGCGUUAUUCCUUGGUUUGUGGAACAUGUUAUUCAGUUAUUGUUAGCUAUUAUUUUGGAUGGCUUAACCCAUUGAUGUUUCUUGUUUUCAAUCCUUGUUCUUGUUGGCAUCUUGUCCCUCUCUCCCUCUACACCUCUCCCCACUUGCACUUAUAAUCACAAUAAACAUUUGAUUGUUGUGAACCUUUCAAUAACAAUAUAUGGGACAAAAUUGGCAAAUGCCCUUUUCCGGCAAAAAGAGCAGCAUAAUAUGCCCUCUUUCUCAAACUAAUUAGGGAAAUGUUCUUCUUUUAAAACUCGACUUUCUCAAAAUCGAGUUAAGCCCUAUAGUAGCGUUUUUAAGGAGCCUAUAGUGAUGUUUUAAGGACUUAUAGUGGCGUUUUGAAACUCGAGCUCCUUGAACUCAAGUUAUAGGAAAAAAAAAAGAAAAAAAUUGCAUGUAACUCGAGUUCAUGGAGCUCGAGUUCUAAAACGUCAUUAUAAGUGCUUAAAACAUCACUAUAGACUCCUUAAAACGCCACUAU
Molecule: long non-coding RNA, 1404 nt
Organism: Quercus robur (English oak)
Lineage: Eukaryota; Viridiplantae; Streptophyta; Magnoliopsida; Fagales; Fagaceae
Exons: 3
Source: RefSeq, a predicted model, not a curated record